This 537-nucleotide transfer RNA is filed under the name Halotia longispora CENA420. Its description in RNAcentral is "16S-23S ribosomal RNA intergenic spacer". The stretch from base 294 to 366 matches the Rfam family "tRNA". Lineage: Bacteria; Bacillati; Cyanobacteriota; Cyanophyceae; Nostocales; Nodulariaceae. The record is from RNAcentral.
CCUUUUAAGGGAGACCUACACCCCUCAAAUCUUGAAAGCAAAAUGCAAAUAGAGAUUGAGUUGGUCUAACCGAGGUCGGUCGCUUCUACUUGAAAUGUUAAGUGCUUUCAAACUAUGAUUUGGUUCGUUUGGGGCUAUUAGCUCAGGUGGUUAGAGCGCACCCCUGAUAAGGGUGAGGUCCCUGGUUCGAGUCCAGGAUGGCCCACCUGAAUCAAUUAAAAAUGAAAAAUGUAAAAUUAAAAAUUGAAUCUUGCUAAUUUUUAAUUUUUAGUUAUAAAUUUUUAAUUGUGUUGGGGGGUUUAGCUCAGUUGGUAGAGCGCUUGCUUUGCAAGCAGGAUGUCAGCGGUUCGAGUCCGCUAAUCUCCACCUGUAAAACGAGAUGAGAAAUCAGCAACAUGACAUGUAUUUAUGAUGUCAGACUGCUGAGAGAUUCUCAGCCAGAACCUUGAAAACUGCAUAGUAACGCGAAAUUAGCAGGCAGACGCAGACAUUCAAUAGAAUGAUUGUGUUUGCAAAGGUGAAACACCAAAUGUAUUG